Molecule: ribosomal RNA, 1345 nt
Filed under: uncultured bacterium
Lineage: Bacteria
Description: bacterial SSU rRNA
Rfam family: Bacterial small subunit ribosomal RNA
Source: RNAcentral
GACGAACGCUGGCGGCGUGCUUAACACAUGCAAGUCGAACGAUGAAGCCUAGCUUGCUAGGUGGAUUAGUGGCGAACGGGUGAGUAAUACGUGAGUGACCUACCUUUGACUCUGGGAUAAGCCUGGGAAACUGGGUCUAAUACCGGAUACGACCAAUCUCUGCAUGGGGUGUUGGUGGAAAGCGUUAAGGAGUGGUUUUAGAUGGGCUCACGGCCUAUCAGCUUGUUGGUGAGGUAAUGGCUUACCAAGGCGACGACGGGUAGCCGGCCUGAGAGGGUGACCGGCCACACUGGGACUGAGACACGGCCCAGACUCCUACGGGAGGCAGCAGUGGGGAAUAUUGCACAAUGGGCGCAAGCCUGAUGCAGCGACGCCGCGUGAGGGAUGACGGCCUUCGGGUUGUAAACCUCUGUUAGCACCGAAGAAGCGAAAGUGACGGUAGGUGCAGAGAAAGCGCCGGCUAACUACGUGCCAGCAGCCGCGGUAAUACGUAGGGCGCGAGCGUUGUCCGGAAUUAUUGGGCGUAAAGAGCUUGUAGGCGGUUGGUCGCGUCUGCUGUGAAGGCCGGGGCUUAACUCCGGUUUUGCAGUGGGUACGGGCUAACUAGAGUGCAGUAGGGGAGACUGGAAUUCCUGGUGUAGCGGUGGAAUGCACAGAUAUCAGGAGGAACACCGAUGGCGAAGGCAGGUCUCUGGGCUGUAACUGACGCUGAGAAGCGAAAGCAUGGGGAGCGAACAGGAUUAGAUACCCUGGUAGUCCAUGCCGUAAACGUUGGGCACUAGGUGUGGGGGACAUUCCACGUUUUCCGCGCCGUAGCUAACGCAUUAAGUGCCCCGCCUGGGGAGUACGGCCGCAAGGCUAAAACUCAAAGGAAUUGACGGGGGCCCGCACAAGCGGCGGAGCAUGCGGAUUAAUUCGAUGCAACGCGAAGAACCUUACCAAGGCUUGACAUGCAUUAGAUCGCGUCAGAGAUGGCGUUUCCCUUCGGGGCUGGUGUACAGGUGGUGCAUGGUUGUCGUCAGCUCGUGUCGUGAGAUGUUGGGUUAAGUCCCGCAACGAGCGCAACCCUCGUUCUAUGUUGCCAGCGGUUCGGCCGGGGACUCAUAGGAGACUGCCGGGGUUAACUCGGAGGAAGGUGGGGAUGACGUCAAAUCAUCAUGCCCCUUAUGUCUUGGGCUUCACGCAUGCUACAAUGGCCGGUACAGAGGGUUGCGAUACUGUGAGGUGGAGCUAAUCCCUUAAAGCCGGUCUCAGUUCGGAUUGGGGUCUGCAACUCGACCCCAUGAAGUCGGAGUCGCUAGUAAUCGCAGAUCAGCAACGCUGCGGUGAAUACGUUCCCGGGCCU